RNAcentral lists this ribosomal RNA (292 nucleotides) under uncultured bacterium. Its description in RNAcentral is "partial 16S ribosomal RNA". It matches the Rfam family "Bacterial small subunit ribosomal RNA", at positions 505 to 796 of the family's 1533-position model. The record is from RNAcentral.
GUGUCAGCCGCCGCGGUAAUACGGAGGAUGCAAGCGUUAUCCGGAUUCAUUGGGUUUAAAGGGUGCGCAGGCGGAAUUGUAAGUCAGUGGUGAAAUCUUCCGGCUCAACCGGGAAACUGCCAUUGAUACUGCCAUUCUUGAGUACAGUUGAAGUGGGCGGAAUGUGUCAUGUAGCGGUGAAAUGCUUAGAUAUGACACAGAACACCGAUAGCGAAGGCAGCUCACUAAGCUGUAACUGACGCUCAUGCACGAAAGCGUGGGGAUCAAACAGGAUUAGAAACCCUGGUAGUCC